ACCUUUGUGCUCGAGGAUCAAUUGAACCUUGAACGCCUGUGCACACACACAGUGUCGCAAUUUGAAGAGGUUUGGAGAACAGCUAGCGGUAACAGCACACAUCUGAAACUUGUAAAGUGCAAUGUUUUAAUUAGAAUAAAUGUCACAUAGCACUAGACACUUAGAUAAGGACACUUAUCGAAACAAUUAGAUGAUAACAAUUCGUCCUCCGAUAAAGCAAAAAGAACACCGCGGAUGGUGCAGUACGGGAAAGUGUUUUACGCAGGAAAAAUAGUUCACGCAGCACACAAACACACUCUCAUGUCCACGGUUCAGAGCACACUGAAGUCGCUCUUUGGCUUGGAUGGAAAAGAGCAAACACCCAGAUGAGUGCGAUGGAAGAAAAUGACUUGUGUUCAACAGGGAUGGGUAGAAUCAAACACACGAAGUGUGCAGGAGAAUUCUCUUCGUGUGGCAAGAGAGAACCCAAGUAGCAACCGAAGCUUUUUUCUCCCAGUUUCAACCCCCUCAUGUCCAAAAACUGCCUUCGCUCUCUAUUCCUAUCCCAUUUCUACAUUCUACAACGUUUGUUGCGUUCUCGCUCAUCAGGGUGUUAGUCAAUUCUCUCUUGCCACACGAAGAGAAUUCUCCUGUACACUUCGUGUGUUUGAUUCUACCCAUCCCUGUUAAACACAAGUCAUUUUCUUCCAUCGCACUCAUCUGGGUGUUUGCUCUUUUCCAUCCAAGCCAAAGAGCGACUUCAGUGUGCUCUGAACCGUGGACAUGAGAGUGUGUUUGUGUGCUGCGUGAACUAUUUUUCCUGCGUAAAACACUUUCCCGUACUGCACCAUCCGCGGUGUUCUUUUUGCUUUAUCGGAGGACGAAUUUUUAUCAUCUAAUUGUUUCGUUUCAGAUGUGUGCUGCUAUCGCUAGCUGUUCUCCAAACCUCUUCAAAUUGCGACACUGUGUGCACAGGAGUUCAAGGUUCAAUUGAUCCUCGAGCAGAAAGCCAAGCAAAAAAAACUCGGUUUUGCUCUUCGUCUGAUUUGGAGAGCUCACGAAGGGGUUUGGGUUCCAUCUCCAACAACACCCACCGGUCACCAGCACUCAGAGAUUCGCUGAGAUUGAAGCUGACUUUGAAGCUGAGUUGGCGAAACGUCUCAGCCUCCGAAGUAACCCGAAGCCGAAGCGAACCCGAACGGGGUUCGGCACGAACCUUCGGUUAAUUAGCCCCCUCCCCCUUUUUUGCCAGGAUUUCUUUCCAAAAUGAUACAGUGCACAGAAUUAUAUCACAACAAUUCUAUUUAUUGAAAUUAAUAACAUUAAUCUAACAUGUUUCACAAAAAUCAAAAACACAUGCACUACGAACACUGGACUGAAUUUCACAUUUACGCACAUUAUUUCAAAACACACUUUCCACACUCACACAGUGAAUAAAAUCACAAAAUCGUCACAACACUUUCUGCUCUUCCUCACUGUUGCGCCUAGUUCCUUUUGCUACAUUGUACGGGCCCAAUACGCCAACACUACGACACAGCCACAGGUUUUGUUGUCUCCGUUCGCCGUGAAACACACAUGAAAUGAAAGAAAAAUGAUAUUAAUUAGAAAAGAGCAUGUCUUUAAAUAAUUUUAAUCACUUUUACUUACCUCAAAUUAAACAAAACUCCAUUUUUCCCGGGGAUUAUUCGCUGACCACCAAUCGCUGAAACACCACAGGAGGACCAACCUCACUGGACUGCCGGUCGGAGCGGAGCCGGCUCCGGAGCCGUCGGAGCGGAGCCGGCUCCGGGAAAAAGUCGGAGCCGGCUCCGGAGCCGUUAGUCCGAAAACUACCUGCGACAGCAGAGGACAGCAGAAAACUACCUGCAUUAGAACAGAGCGUUGGUGUGGCCA
This is a long non-coding RNA of Anopheles coluzzii, 1872 nucleotides long. RefSeq lists it as uncharacterized. Lineage: Eukaryota; Metazoa; Arthropoda; Insecta; Diptera; Culicidae. The record is from RefSeq and is a predicted model, not a curated record. The transcript is spliced from 3 exons.